This 494-nucleotide ribosomal RNA is filed under the name uncultured bacterium. RNAcentral's name for it is "partial 16S ribosomal RNA". It matches the Rfam family "Bacterial small subunit ribosomal RNA", at positions 28 to 507 of the family's 1533-position model. The record is from RNAcentral.
GACGAACGCUGGCGGCGUGCUUAACACAUGCAAGUCGAACGGUGAAGCGCCUUCCUUUUUGGUGGGUGUGGAUGAGUGGCGAACGGGUGAGUAACACGUGAGUAACCUGCCCCCUUCUUCUGGAUAACCGCAUGAAAGUGUGGCUAAUACGGGAUAUUCUGGGUCUGUCGCAUGAUGGGUCUGGGAAAGAUAUUGUUUCGGUGGGGGAUGGGCUCGCGGCCUAUCAGCUUGUUGGGGGGGUGAUGGCCUACCAAGGCGGUGACGGGUAGCCGGCCUGGGAGGGUGGCCGGUCACACUGGGACUGAGACCCGGCCCAGACUCCUACGGGAGGCAGCAGUGGGGAAUAUUGCACAAUGGGCGCAAGCCUGAUGCAGCGACGCCGCGUGAGGGAUGGAGGCCUUCGGGUUGUGAACCUCUUUCGCCAGUGAAGCAGGCCUGCCUCGUUUGUGGGUGGGUUGACGGUAGCUGGAUAAGAAGCGCCGGCUAACUACGUG